UCAAUUAAAAAAUUUUUUUAUAGUACAACGAUAUUUCAAGAGACACGGUAGUGGCUCGCGCCAAGUGAAAGCGUAGCGUGAGCCCGACCGUGCUCUUUUACGCGAGUACGCGACUUGCGAGCAUCCGAGAUUAUCAGAUCUCAGAAACGGCUAAACCGAUCGAGUUCUAACUAGACUCAAUCGAAAGCUUAGGGUCGAUUUGUAUCAGAAAAGUGUUUUUAUUUUUCCUCUAUGUACUUUAUGAGAGGAGAUUAUCACGACGCAAAGUCCGAAAAGCCAAAAUUUCAUUUAAGAUACGUCGUCGUCAUUAUUAUCAUCGUCAACAUUGUGGGUAUCUUUGCGGGUAGUGCGGGUGCCGAAAAUGAGGGACGAAAUUCCAUCUCGCGCAUCUGCUACCAUGCGGCGUUCGCAUCGUCACUAUAGCACCAUGUAUGGCAAUAUUUUAUUUUUAUUUAUUUUUUAUAAGUCACGAUGAGAUGUUGCAUAAUGUAAAAUGUGUAUUAUUGCUGUAAUUGUCAACAAUGAUAAUGUCGUAAGGAUAAAGUAAAGAAUAAUAUUAUUAAAAAUAGUAUUAUUAAAUCAUUCAUUUGAAAUUUUAUUAAAUUUAAUUAGUAGUUAUUAAUAUUGAUUUUGAUUGAUUUGACAAUUACAGCAACAUUUAACCAAUACACAAUUCUUCUACAUGAUACAACAUCUCAUCUCUCAUUGACACUAAUAUAAAAUCAGAGAACUAUUUUAUUAAUUUUACAUUGUUUUAAUGUAAGUUGCUCGGAUCAGAAUUCAGCUUGUGUCAAGUGACAUGUGUAGUGGAGGUUAAAUCGUUUAUUUAUCGAAAUAGAUGAGAUGUUGCGUGAUGUAAAUUAUUGCUGUAAUUGUCAAUCAAUGAUAAUGUUGUAAGGAUAAGAAUUUUAAUAAACAUGUGGGUCGGCAGUAACUCGUUCACGCUACGCGCCAGCUUUCAUCAAGGGUGCGUUUUUAAAUUCGCAACGGAUGCACUGGAGUGUCAUCCUAUCUUUGUUCAACUUUCCGUAAGUAACAAAGAUGGAAUGACAUUCUGGUGUAUCUGGCAGCAUCCGUUGCGAAUUUAAGAACGCAUCCCAAAUGACGUGUAGUGUUAAUAAAAUAAUGUCAACUGUUUCAAAAUUGCUGUCUGUACUGAUACAUACAUUAUAGAUAGAUUUUCAGUACUGAGAGCAAUUUUGAAACAUAGUCUUUAUUGUGCUUUAAUUUAAUUUAUAAUCAUGUUAAUAGAUAAAAACUCGGGGUGACGGAGAGUAGGAGAGAGAGAGAAAGAGAAAGAGAGAGAGAGAGAGAGAGAGAGAGAGAGAGAGAGAAAGAGAAUUAUAUGUGUCUUUUCUGAACACAGCGCAUUAUCACCGAUAGCUCAGUGAACAGCAAUUCAUUAUUUAAUGAUUUUUCAGUGGAAACUCAGGAUGAGAGAGACAAAGAGCAGGAGAGAAAGAGAGAAGGAAUUAUAUAUGUGAUCUAAACCAGCGAAACAUGAAUGAUGACAGUAUAUUACCAUCGAUAGCUCAGUGGAGAUAUUAUUAUUUAAUGAUUCUUUAGGCAAGUCGCACAUUACGUAUCUGUAUCACAUUUUCAUGAAGUAAUUUAUAAUUAAAAAUGUAUCCUGCAAAUAUUUUAA
Molecule: long non-coding RNA, 1645 nt
Filed under: Monomorium pharaonis (pharaoh ant)
Lineage: Eukaryota; Metazoa; Arthropoda; Insecta; Hymenoptera; Formicidae
Description: uncharacterized LOC118647794
Source: RNAcentral